This is a non-coding RNA of Schizosaccharomyces pombe (fission yeast), 253 nucleotides long. The record is from the annotation of a GenBank genome assembly. Lineage: Eukaryota; Fungi; Ascomycota; Schizosaccharomycetes; Schizosaccharomycetales; Schizosaccharomycetaceae.
CAGACGGUUGUUCCACAGACGACAUAACUAUUUCAUCCUGCUCUUCCAGUUUUGUGUCCACAGGCAUUAAUCGAUCAAUGUUGCAGAUAAUAGCUAGAUACCAAUGAAAUGUUUCAUUGAUAGGAACAAUAAUGUAUUUUUUAUGGAAAAGGUCAACUUUUUGAGUCCACUUUCGAACUCCUCUAUGACCUAGCCGCUUGCUAUAUUACCCAUUAGUGAUCAAAUAAUUGAUAGAAGUAAAGCCUGUUACAUA